Molecule: transfer RNA, 72 nt
Filed under: Larutia seribuatensis
Lineage: Eukaryota; Metazoa; Chordata; Lepidosauria; Squamata; Scincidae
Description: tRNA-Trp
Rfam family: tRNA
About the family: Transfer RNA (tRNA) molecules are approximately 80 nucleotides in length. Their secondary structure includes four short double-helical elements and three loops (D, anti-codon, and T loops).
Source: RNAcentral
AGGGGCUUAGGUUCAAACUCAAACCAGCGACCUUCAAAGCCGCAAACAAGAGUUAAAAUCUCUUACCCCCUG